AUCGUACUCCUUCCGUUCUGAAUUACUCGUCAUAGAAAUGAAUGUAUCUAGAUGUAUUUUAGUUCUAGAUACAUCCACUUGUGCGACGAAUAAUUUGUAACAGAGGGAGUACAAA
This is a non-coding RNA of Triticum aestivum (bread wheat), 115 nucleotides long. NCBI's taxonomy places the organism in Eukaryota, Viridiplantae, Streptophyta, Magnoliopsida, Poales, Poaceae. The record is from Rfam.